UGCUCUUCUCAGGACUGUUCACCCAAACAAGAGAAGACGACUUUCCUUCAGUUUGAAAGAAGAAAGUAUCCUUGGUUCCCGAGGUGGAGUGAGGAUAGGUGCUUCAGAGCUCCAAGACGCCGUUCUGGAUUUCUUCGUAGCAGCUGACAAAACAUGCGAUAUUUUAGUGUGAAAAUUCAUGGGUAAUGCUACUGUGUAAGAGUCGAUACCAAGACUGGACGGACAGUGACGUUCAUACUGCCUGACCUAUGAAAAACUCUUGGUCCUCAAAAGAAAGAGAUGGCUUCUGUGGACAGAAAGCGUGGAUAUCGUACUUCAUCAUUUACAAUACUGUCAAACACCUCUUCUUCAUCAUCUCCAGGGAAAGGAGACUAUAACCUACAGAUUAGAAUCAUUAAGGUUGGAGAAGACCUCCAAGAUCAUCUGGUUCAACUGUCCCCCUACCACUAAUACUACCCACUACAUUAGCUUUAUAGAUGGUCAGGAUUUUAAAGUCAAAUAUCAAAAGCGUUUAAACUUGCAGCUUUCA
This is a long non-coding RNA of Cygnus atratus (black swan), 529 nucleotides long. RefSeq lists it as uncharacterized. Lineage: Eukaryota; Metazoa; Chordata; Aves; Anseriformes; Anatidae. The transcript has 5 exons. The record is from RefSeq and is a predicted model, not a curated record.